UAGUCCACGCCGUAAACGAUGUCUACUAGUCGUUGGGAAUCUUAGUAUUCUUGGUGACGAAGUUAACGCGAUAAGUAGACCGCCUGGGGAGUACGGCCGCAAGGUUAAAACUCAAAUGAAUUGACGGGGGCCCGCACAAGCGGUGGAGCAUGUGGUUUAAUUCGAUGCAACGCGAAGAACCUUACCAGAGCUUGACAUGGUCACAAAUUUUUGCGAGAGCAAAAAGUGCCUUCGGGAAUGUGAACACAGGUGGUGCAAUGGCUGUCGUCAGCUCGUGUCGUGAGAUGUUGGGUUAAGUCCCGCAACGAGCGCAACCCUUGUCUUUAGUUGCCAUCAUUAAGUUGGGCACUUUAAAGAGACUGCCGGUGACAAACCGGNGGAAGGUAAGGAUGACGUCAAGUCAGCAUGCCCCUUAUGCUCUGGGCUACACACGUGCUACAAUGGCCGUGCAAAGAGUUGCUACUUUGUGAAAACAAGCUAAUCUCAUAAACGCGGCCUCAGUUCGGAUUGC
RNAcentral lists this ribosomal RNA (511 nucleotides) under uncultured bacterium. RNAcentral's name for it is "bacterial SSU rRNA". It matches the Rfam family "Bacterial small subunit ribosomal RNA", at positions 791 to 1301 of the family's 1533-position model. The record is from RNAcentral.